UGAGUAACACGUGAGUAACCUGCCCCUGACUCUGGGAUAAGCCCGGGAAACUGGGUCUAAUACUGGAUAUGACCUUUAACCGCAUGGUUUUUGGUGGAAAGAUUUAUCGGUUGGGGAUGGACUCGCGGCCUAUCAGCUUGUUGGUGAGGUAAUGGCUCACCAAGGCGACGACGGGUAGCCGGCCUGAGAGGGUGACCGGCCACACUGGGACUGAGACACGGCCCAGACUCCUACGGGAGGCAGCAGUGGGGAAUAUUGCACAAUGGGCGAAAGCCUGAUGCAGCGACGCCGCGUGAGGGAUGACGGCCUUCGGGUUGUAAACCUCUUUCAGUAGGGAAGAAGCGAAAGUGACGGUACCUGCAGAAGAAGCGCCGGCUAACUACGUGCCAGCAGCCGCGGUAAUACGUAGGGCGCAAGCGUUAUCCGGAUUUAUUGGGCGUAAAGAGCUCGUAGGCGGUUUGUCGCGUCUGCCGUGAAAGUCCGAGGCUCAACCUCGGAUCUGCGGUGGGUACGGGCAGACUAGAGUGAUGUAGGGGAGACUGGAAUUCCUGGUGUAGCGGUGAAAUGCGCAGAUAUCAGGAGGAACACCGAUGGCGAAGGCAGGUCUCUGGGCAUCUACUGACGCUGAGGAGCGAAAGCAUGGGGAGCGAACAGGAUUAGAUACCCUGGUAGUCCAUGCCGUAAACGUUGGGCACUAGGUGUGGGGAACAUUCCACGUUUUCCGCGCCGUAGCUAACGCAUUAAGUGCCCCGCCUGGGGAGUACGGCCGCAAGGCUAAAACUC
This 783-nucleotide ribosomal RNA is filed under the name bacterium C-TJ9. RNAcentral's name for it is "bacterial SSU rRNA". It matches the Rfam family "Bacterial small subunit ribosomal RNA", at positions 107 to 902 of the family's 1533-position model. The record is from RNAcentral.